Molecule: long non-coding RNA, 577 nt
Organism: Nannospalax galili (Upper Galilee mountains blind mole rat)
Lineage: Eukaryota; Metazoa; Chordata; Mammalia; Rodentia; Spalacidae
Exons: 3
Source: RefSeq, a predicted model, not a curated record
UCAGAGGCCCGCCUGAAGGUUCUGUCCGCACUGACCUCUGGAAGCUGCGGGGCAUGCCCGGAAGGUGCUGCGUGGCACCGCCCACAGCGGACACCAGCGGGUCCUACUGAAUAUUUUGAACUUCUACCCAAGGCAGGCACUGGAUAUUCCUGGCCUUGGUCAGGGUAACUGUGUUGAGCAGUAACUGAAUUUUGCUGGCCACCUCCUCCCAGAGUGCCUCUGCAGAGGAACACACAGAUCUCUGUGGGAUGGUACCAAAUGGCUCAGUCCAGCUUCAUUCAUAAUUGCCAAAGCUUGGAAGCAACGAAGAUGAUCUUCAGUAAGUGAAUGGAUCAUAAGAUGUGGGGCAUCUAGACAAUGAAAUAUUAUUCAGCACAAAAAGGAAAUGAGCUUCCCAAGCCAUGAAAAGACAUGGAGAAACCUUAAAUGCAUACUUAAGGGACUAUCAUGCUAUGUAGUUCUGACUGGACUGGAACUCACUAUGUAGCCCAGGCUGACCUUCAGCACCAGAUUGGGACUACUGAGACAACCAGCCUUUUGAACUGAGCGACUACGGAUUCUCAGCCUCUCCAGUGUG